AAUAUUGAUUUGAUGGUCUGUAUUAAUAUGAUACACAUCUCGCCAUGGGAGGCCACUAUCGGAUUAAUGAAAGUAGCGAAGAAACAUUUACGAAGUCAUGAUGAUGAUAAGACAACUUAUACGGGUGGAUAUUUAUAUUGUUAUGGUCCCUAUAAAGUGAAGGGAACUGCC
Molecule: non-coding RNA, 171 nt
Filed under: Fragilariopsis kerguelensis
Lineage: Eukaryota; Bacillariophyta; Bacillariophyceae; Bacillariales; Bacillariaceae
Source: RNAcentral